AACCUUCUAAACUCGUCGGCUAAAACUUUGAAAUUCGUCGGCUAAACUUUACAAAUUCAUCGGCCAAACCUUUGAAAUUCGUCGGCUAAAAGUAUUUUUAUACAUUUGGCAUGUUGUGAUUGUGAUGAUCAAACUUGAGAAACAGAAAUCCGACCGUCAGAUCUGACCAUCAUGAUAAAAUACAUGUAUGGGACAAAAUUCAACUUGAUCCGAAAAGAAUAAGGGCUUGAUCCGGACGGUCAAUCUCGUAAGUCAAACCCCUAAACGCACGGAAAAGGUCGUUCGACCGUCUAAAUUACGUAUUUUGGCCGGACCUCCAACUGAAAAUAGUUUUAAACCGAUGACACGCAACAAGUCGUAUAAAAAUUUUACGCAAAAUAACCACCGAAUAUAGGGCUACUCAUAGGGGGAAAAAAUGAAAAAUUGCAUUGACCGCAAUUAUCGGCACCGAAUAUUUACCGGAAUAGUGUGAUUUUUCAACCGUGGAUGUAUUUCAACAUUCUCGUCAUAUCUUAUUUCAGGACUUUUUGACGUUUGAAGGUUUUACGUAUAAUUUGUUUUUGAAACGGAACAUUUACAUAACACUUGGUAAACAAGUUAUACAACAUUAGUAUGCAUGUUGUGAUUGUGAUGAUCAAACUUGAGAAACAGAAAUCCGACCGUCAGAUCUGACCAUCAUGAUAAAAUACAUGUAUGGGAAAAAAUUCAACUUGAUCCGAAAAGAAUAAGGGCUCGAUCUGGACGGUCAAUCUCGUAAGUCAAACCCCUACACGCACGGAAAAGGUCGUUCGACCGUCUAAAUUACGUAUUUUGGCCGGACCUCCCACUGAAAAUAGUUUUAAACUGAUGACACGCAACAAGUCGUAUAAAAAUUUUACGCAAAAUAACCACCGAAUACAGGGCUAUAGUAAGUAAUAGAAAAAUUUUAGGGUUUAGCCGACGAAUACCCUAACGUAUUUAUUUGUCGGCUAUAGUAUGUAAUUAAAAAAUUAAAAAUUAACUAUAGCCGACGAAAUAUUAGGUUAUUCGUCGGCAAAAACCAUCUUAGCCGAUGAAUUAUAGUGUAUUUCGUCGGCUAAAGGAAAAAAAUACAUUAAAAAAAACAGACGAUAUUAGUAAACCAUACUAACUUCAUGUUCAUCAUGUAUCACCAAAAUUCAUAUAAAAUAACUGAAAUAUGAAUUCAACAUGUGUAAACUAUAAAGGAAAAGGUCUUUAGUUAUACAAAUUAAUGGAUUUCGUCCUCUAAAUUAAAACUAAGGCUCGUAAUCGGAAUCAUCCGAUGAGUCUUCUUCGGUGUCAGAAUUAAUUUCUGGUAAUAUAUGUCUUUCCUCAUCGCCAGAGUCUUCGUCUGUUUCUUGAUUUGGAUCAACAUCAAUAAGCCUUGGCUCUUCAUCACAAAUUCGCACCGAACGACCCGCUUUAAAAUUAUUAAGGCGAACGGUAGAGGAGUUAGGAAUACGUAUUGCGUUGGGCUCUUGAUACGCAACAUCCUCUUCCUCGUCUUCGG
RNAcentral lists this long non-coding RNA (1510 nucleotides) under Fragaria vesca (wild strawberry). RNAcentral describes it as "long non-coding RNA (FVES_LNC004926)". Lineage: Eukaryota; Viridiplantae; Streptophyta; Magnoliopsida; Rosales; Rosaceae. The record is from RNAcentral.